AUUCCAGCUCCAAUAGCGUAUAUUAAAGUUGUUGCAGUUAAAAAGCUCGUAGUUGGAUUUGUGGCGUACGAUGUGUUCCCGGCACUUGUUGUCGGUGGUACUUGUCGUUGCCAUCCUUGGGUGGAAUCUGUGUGGCAUUAGGUUGUCGUGCAGGGGAUGCCCAUCGUUUACCGUGAAAAAAUUAGAGUGUUCAAAGCAGGCUUACGCCGUUGAAUAUAUUAGCAUGGAAUAAUGAGAUAGGACCUUGGUACUAUUUGGUUGGUUUGCGCACCGAGGUAAUGAUUAAUAGGGACAGUUGGGGGUAUUCGUAUUCCAUUGUCAGAGGUGAAAUUCUUGGAUUUUUGGAAGACGAACUACUGCGAAAGCAUUUGCCAAGGAUGUUUUCAUCA
This 389-nucleotide ribosomal RNA is filed under the name Haslea sp. RNAcentral describes it as "partial small subunit ribosomal RNA". It matches the Rfam family "Eukaryotic small subunit ribosomal RNA", at positions 582 to 975 of the family's 1831-position model. Lineage: Eukaryota; Bacillariophyta; Bacillariophyceae; Naviculales; Naviculaceae. The record is from RNAcentral.